Non-coding RNA from Caenorhabditis elegans, 21 nucleotides. Lineage: Eukaryota; Metazoa; Nematoda; Chromadorea; Rhabditida; Rhabditidae. The record is from Ensembl.
UUCUGAGGGUUUUGCAAUUGC